Molecule: long non-coding RNA, 116 nt
Filed under: Anser brachyrhynchus (Pink-footed goose)
Lineage: Eukaryota; Metazoa; Chordata; Aves; Anseriformes; Anatidae
Description: lncRNA (ENSABRG00000020041.1)
Source: RNAcentral
ACUCUGAACAAGGAACAAAACAUGCAUGCUCCAAGGAGUUUUGACUGUUCCAAAGGCAGCUUUUAUGAGCUCCCAAGUUUCCCAAGGAUAGUGUAAGGCCAGCAGAGUCUUCAUCU